Molecule: long non-coding RNA, 648 nt
Organism: Vitis riparia (riverbank grape)
Lineage: Eukaryota; Viridiplantae; Streptophyta; Magnoliopsida; Vitales; Vitaceae
Exons: 2
Source: RefSeq, a predicted model, not a curated record
UUUACCACUAAGAACAAUACAAAACACCUGCUGAUGUUUCUUCCCCUCACCCCCUUUGUAAACAGCAGAAUGCUUUGCCGUCUGUUUUCUGGAUUAGAGCCAUUUCUCUGAAUGACAUAUCAUAACAUGUCCUCAGGGUACAGAACUGGAAGACAGAUGUAGAGUGAGAAUUUUGUAUGUGUAGAUCUUGACAUUGCAACAGAUGUGAUUUUAGUAAAGAACACUUCAUCUUCAAGAGAAUGUGACUGCAGAGAUGGGGUAGCUUUUGUGGUUCCUGUCUUCAGCUUUGGUAUCGAGAAUGGACAACAGUUAAAAGUAGAUGGUGAACUGCACAAACAUGAAGAUGUUCCAAACACACUUCUUGUCCAGAAAGCAAUAUUGUGUUGGAGCCUGCAACCCAUGUAAAUUUUUUCCAGGGUUCGUUUUCUACACACUUUGAUUUCCUUUCAUCCCAACACGAGGUAGGAGCUUCAGUGGAGAACGCAGCAUAUGGAAUUUCAUGUCUGUUUGCUUUUCAAGGAGUGAACAGAAUUUCUCCAACUUAAAACUAUAAGCUGAUUCCUUGUAAUUUGAAUGACUCAAGUUCCAAACUAAUGGUGGCAGUGAUGUUCAGAUUAACAGCAAUUAGCAGAAUGGACUUUUCAGCUC